CUAAUUUGGACUGGGAUAUGUGAAUGCACACACUGGGUCUCUGUGUAGACAUCUGUCUUUCCACAGUGACAGCCAAUGAAAGCAACCUGAGUGCAGCUGAUAUUGACAGAGGCUGGGGCUUCGGGUAUGGGCGGAGUGUGGAGCGGCCACAGCAGGAGAAGAGAAUUCUCCAUACAGAAGCAGUACUAAUUAGCAACAAGAGCUGCAAAGGAGUCAACCAGAAGUCACUAUCGAAUAUACUGACGGAUCCUAAGAAAGAGUCGUGAAAAGGGGAGGAAGAUUGCAGGACACAGUUGGCU
RNAcentral lists this long non-coding RNA (299 nucleotides) under Rattus norvegicus (Norway rat). RNAcentral describes it as "long non-coding RNA NONRATT033120". The record is from RNAcentral. Lineage: Eukaryota; Metazoa; Chordata; Mammalia; Rodentia; Muridae.